UAGUUGGUAAGGUAACGGCUUACCAAGGCGACGAGCAGUAGCCGACCUGAGAGGGUGAUCGGCCACAUGGGAACUGAGACACGGUCCAAACUCCUACGGGAGGCAGCAGUGGGGAAUAUUGCACAAUGGGCGGAAGCCUGAUGCAGCAACGCCGCGUGAGUGAUGAAGGCCUUCGGGUCGUAAAACGCUGUCCUCAAGGAAGAUAAUGACGGUACGUGGGGAUGCAGCCCUGGCCACGUAGGG
RNAcentral lists this ribosomal RNA (243 nucleotides) under Clostridioides difficile. Its description in RNAcentral is "partial 16S ribosomal RNA". It matches the Rfam family "Bacterial small subunit ribosomal RNA", at positions 246 to 506 of the family's 1533-position model. Lineage: Bacteria; Bacillati; Bacillota; Clostridia; Peptostreptococcales; Peptostreptococcaceae. The record is from RNAcentral.